GCUUUAUUGGUCACAAUUUAAAAAGUUUGGAACUGGGUCAAAACUUCAGAACUGACCAAAAGAAGAUUUUAUUGUCAAGAAAAAAAAAAGAAGAUAUUAAAGGCUAAUAUUUUGUCAUUAGAGGUUAAGUGUGGUUGUUAUUCUGUUUAGCCUGUUUUUAUUAUUAUAUCACUGUUCAAUAUGCAUAGGAAUUAAAUUACCCUGCUAAGACUGCAAAAUAACAGGCUGCUUUCCAUGGAACAGAACUAUGACAAAGACAAGCAAUUUAGUCUUUACCACAGAAUGCAGGGCUCGGUUCAGCUAAUUCAGCUUCUCUGGGCCAUAUAUUAAAAGAUGUUGCAGAGAGGUGAAAAGCAUUGGACCAUCUGAAUCAAUUAUCCAAAGAACAUUAAGCUGAUUUAUUCCAACUCUAAACCGAAAGCUUCUGCAGUAGGUCUGCUUUGUCAUCAGUUUGACUCCUGCCUAGUUUCCACAGCAGUGUUCUGAAAUAAAAUAUGUGAAUUUCUUGCAAAAUUUCAUGCAAUUUUCAGAUUCUGUGUGUGGUAAAUACUAACAUUUACAGUAAUAAAAAGAAUUCUGCUCUACAACAAUAUUUACUUUUUUGAAGUGUUAUGGAAGAAAAUGUUAAAACUCUGCCUCUCUGUUUCUGUCUGUCUCUUAGUCAUGAACUCAUUAAUACGUAUAUUACCAUCUGUCGGCCUCCCCUCCUUGCUGAGGGAUUUCAAACUGCUGAGCAUGGUUAAAUCCUUAGCCCUUGUCUUAGUGACAGAGAUACCACACAACCAAGUUGGCAUUACUGGCUCCAUGACCUGUUUCUCUUUUCUAUGGCCUAACAAAUGCUUAAGAAACAGAAGCAUGGUCUAAAAGAGAAGCAAAGAAGAUAAAUGUCUCAAUUUCUGAUGUACUUCUUCAAUAUUUCUCAAAUCUAAAAUAUAAAUCUUCUUCAAGCUUCUGAAAGCAGUUUACAUUUGGAACUGUAAAAUGGCAAAUACUGAUGAAACGAACGGCAGCCAGGAUCCAGAGGCUCCGGAGGAAGACCUGGAUGAUGAACAGCAAGCUUUGCUGCAUUUCAGUAAAUAUGGAGAAA
Xiphophorus hellerii (green swordtail) is the source of this 1087-nucleotide long non-coding RNA. RefSeq lists it as uncharacterized. The transcript is spliced from 2 exons. The record is from RefSeq and is a predicted model, not a curated record. NCBI's taxonomy places the organism in Eukaryota, Metazoa, Chordata, Actinopteri, Cyprinodontiformes, Poeciliidae.